This 485-nucleotide ribosomal RNA is filed under the name uncultured bacterium. RNAcentral's name for it is "partial 16S ribosomal RNA". It matches the Rfam family "Bacterial small subunit ribosomal RNA", at positions 28 to 507 of the family's 1533-position model. The record is from RNAcentral.
GAUGAACGCUGGCGGCGUGCUUAACACAUGCAAGUCGAACGGGAUCCAAGGGGUGCUUGCACUUUUUGGUGAGAGUGGCGAACGGGUGAGUAACACGUGGGUAACCUGUCCUUUUCUUUGGGAUAAGCAUUCGAAAGGGUGUUUAAUACCUUAUGUUCUGUCUGCCUCGCAUGGGGUGGGUGGGAGAGGCUUUGGCCGGAUUUGGGUGGGCUCGCGGUCUAUCAGCUUGUUGGUGGGGUGAUGGCUUACCAAGGCUUUGACGGGUAGCCGGCCUGAGAGGGUGGUCGGUCACAUUGGGACUGAGAUACGGCCCAGACUCCUGCGGGAGGCAGCAGUGGGGGAUAUUGCACAAUGGGCGAAAGCCUGAUGCAGCGACGCCGCGUGGGGGAUGAAGGCCUUCGGGUUGUAAACUUCUUUUGCUCUGAACAAGGCAUGCCAGUGGGUGUGUUGAGUGUAGGGGUUGAUUAGCGCCGGCUAACUACGUG